GAAAAGGCUCUUAGAGCCACCAUAAAACUAUAAGAAAAUAUAU
Molecule: non-coding RNA, 43 nt
Organism: Aedes albopictus (Asian tiger mosquito)
Lineage: Eukaryota; Metazoa; Arthropoda; Insecta; Diptera; Culicidae
Source: Rfam